GAUGAACGCUGGCGGCGUGCCUAAUACAUGCCAGUCGAGCGAACGGACGAGAAGCUUGCUUCUCUGAUGUUAGCGGCGGACGGGUGAGUAACACGUGGAUAACCUACCUAUAAGACUGGGAUAACUUCGGGAAACCGGAGCUAAUACCGGAUAAUAUUUUGAACCGCAUGGUUCAAAAGUGAAAGACGGUCUUGCUGUCACUUAUAGAUGGAUCCGCGCUGCAUUAGCUAGUUGGUAAGGUAACGGCUUACCAAGGCAACGAUGCAUAGCCGACCUGAGAGGGUGAUCGGCCACACUGGAACUGAGACACGGUCCAGACUCCUACGGGAGGCAGCAGUAGGGAAUCUUCCGCAAUGGGCGAAAGCCUGACGGAGCAACGCCGCGUGAGUGAUGAAGGUCUUCGGAUCGUAAAACUCCGUUAUUAGGGAAGAACAUAUGUGUAAGUAACUGUGCACAUCUUGACGGUACCUAAUCAGAAAGCCACGGCUAACUACGUG
This 497-nucleotide ribosomal RNA is filed under the name uncultured bacterium. RNAcentral's name for it is "partial 16S ribosomal RNA". It matches the Rfam family "Bacterial small subunit ribosomal RNA", at positions 28 to 507 of the family's 1533-position model. The record is from RNAcentral.